Molecule: ribosomal RNA, 526 nt
Filed under: Latilactobacillus curvatus
Lineage: Bacteria; Bacillati; Bacillota; Bacilli; Lactobacillales; Lactobacillaceae
Description: bacterial SSU rRNA
Rfam family: Bacterial small subunit ribosomal RNA
Source: RNAcentral
GGGUAACCUGCCCUAAAGUGGGGGAUAACAUUUGGAAACAGAUGCUAAUACCGCAUAAAACCUAGCACCGCAUGGUGCAAGGUUGAAAGAUGGUUUCGGCUAUCACUUUAGGAUGGACCCGCGGCGCAUUAGUUAGUUGGUGAGGUAAAGGCUCACCAAGACCGUGAUGCAUAGCCGACCUGAGAGGGUAAUCGGCCACACUGGGACUGAGACACGGCCCAGACUCCUACGGGAGGCAGCAGUAGGGAAUCUUCCACAAUGGACGAAAGUUUGAUGGAGCAACGCCGCGUGAGUGAAGAAGGUUUUCGGAUCGUAAAACUCUGUUGUUGGAGAAGAACGUAUUUGAUAGUAACUGAUCAGGUAGUGACGGUAUCCAACCAGAAAGCCACGGCUAACUACGUGCCAGCAGCCGCGGUAAUACGUAGGUGGCAAGCGUUGUCCGGAUUUAUUGGGCGUAAAGCGAGCGCAGGCGGUUUCUUAAGUCUGAUGUGAAAGCCUUCGGCUCAACCGAAGAAGUGCAUCGGAA